UCACAUCCGAGGCCUUGUAAUUGGAAUGAGUACACUUUAAAUCCUUUAACAAGGAUCAAUUGGAGGGCAAGUCUGGUGCCAGCAGCCGCGGUAAUUCCAGCUCCAAUAGCGUAUAUUAAAGUUGUUGCGGUUAAAACGUUCGUAGUUGAACUUGUGUCUCGCACGGGCAGCUACCAUAGGCCAGUUUACUGGUCCGGUAACUUGUCUUAUCUUGUCUUGGCUUUAGUCAUGGCAAAUGUGCGUGGACGUAUUAUCGGCGUGUUCGCUCUUGUAGCGUUCACAUAAGCUCAUUUCAGUGAUCUUUACCGAUUGUUGUUGUGAGCCGAUACAAAUUACUUUGAACAAAUUAGAGUGCUUAAAGCAGGCUUGUAAUGCCUGAAUAUUUUGUGCAUGGAAUAAUGAAAUAGGACAUCUGUUCUACUUUCAUUGGUUUUUUAGACCAAGAUGUAAUGAUUAAUGGAAGCAGUUGGGGGCAUUAGUAUUACAACGCGAGAGGUGAAAUUCUUAGACCGUUGUAAGACUGACUAAAGCGAAAGCAUUUGCCAAAGAUGUUUUCAUUUAAUCAAGAACGAAAGUUAGAGGUUCGAAGGCGAUCAGAUACCGCCCUAGUUCUAACCAUAAACGAUGCCAGCUAGCAAUUGAGUGUAGCUACUACUAUGGCUCUUUCAGUCGCUUCUCGGGAAACCAAAGCUUUUGGGCUCCGGGGGAAGUAUGGUUGCAAAGCUGAAACUUAAAGGAAUUGACGGAAGGGCACCACCAGGAGUGGAGCCUGCGGCUUAAUUUGACUCAACACGGGAAAACUUACCAGGUCCGAACAUAAAUGAGUAAGACAGAUUG
Molecule: ribosomal RNA, 837 nt
Filed under: Brevicornu improvisum
Lineage: Eukaryota; Metazoa; Arthropoda; Insecta; Diptera; Mycetophilidae
Description: SSU rRNA
Rfam family: Eukaryotic small subunit ribosomal RNA
Source: RNAcentral